ACACUAGUGGUGAAACGGUAUCAUGCGUCGUUGCCAUCGACGCGGCGGGGGUUCGACUCCCUCCUAGUGUA
This 71-nucleotide transfer RNA is filed under the name Cutaneotrichosporon oleaginosum. RNAcentral describes it as "Trichosporon oleaginosus tRNA". It matches the Rfam family "tRNA". From Rfam's summary of the family: Transfer RNA (tRNA) molecules are approximately 80 nucleotides in length. Their secondary structure includes four short double-helical elements and three loops (D, anti-codon, and T loops). The record is from Rfam by way of RNAcentral. Lineage: Eukaryota; Fungi; Basidiomycota; Tremellomycetes; Trichosporonales; Trichosporonaceae.